CCUACGGGCGGCAGCAGUGGGGAAUAUUGGACAAUGGGCGAAAGCCUGAUCCAGCCAUGCCGCGUGUGUGAAGAAGGCCUUCGGGUUGUAAAGCACUUUCAGUGGGGAAGAAAGCCUUGGGGCUAAUACCCUCGAGGAAGGACAUCACCCACAGAAGAAGCACCGGCUAACUCCGUGCCAGCAGCCGCGGUAAUACGGAGGGUGCGAGCGUUAAUCGGAAUUACUGGGCGUAAAGCGCGCGUAGGCGGUCUGAUAAGCCGGUUGUGAAAGCCCCGGGCUCAAACUGGGAACGGCAUCCGGAACUGUCAGGCUAGAGUGCAGGAGAGGAAGGUAGAAUUCCCGGUGUAGCGGUGAAAUGCGUAGAGAUCGGGAGGAAUACCAGUGGCGAAGGCGGCCUUCUGGACUGACACUGACGCUGAGGUGCGAAAGCGUGGGUAGCAAACAGGAUUAGAUACCCCGGUAGUC
Molecule: ribosomal RNA, 465 nt
Filed under: Vreelandella stevensii
Lineage: Bacteria; Pseudomonadati; Pseudomonadota; Gammaproteobacteria; Oceanospirillales; Halomonadaceae
Description: partial 16S ribosomal RNA
Rfam family: Bacterial small subunit ribosomal RNA
Source: RNAcentral